Molecule: ribosomal RNA, 653 nt
Filed under: human gut metagenome
Description: bacterial SSU rRNA
Rfam family: Bacterial small subunit ribosomal RNA
Source: RNAcentral
UAUCCGGAUUUAUUGGGUUUAAAGGGUGCGUAGGUGGUCUUUUAAGUCAGCGGUGAAAGUUUGUGGCUCAACCAUAAAAUUGCCAUUGAAACUGGGGGACUUGAGUAUGUUUGAGGUAGGCGGAAUGCGUGGUGUAGCGGUGAAAUGCAUAGAUAUCACGCAGAACUCCGAUUGCGAAGGCAGCUUGCCAAGCCAUAACUGACACUGAAGCACGAAAGCGUGGGUAUCAAACAGGAUUAGAUACCCUGGUAGUCCACGCAGUAAACGAUGAUUACUAGGAGUUUGCGAUAAAAUGUAAGCUCUACAGCGAAAGCGUUAAGUAAUCCACCUGGGGAGUACGCCGGCAACGGUGAAACUCAAAGGAAUUGACGGGGGCCCGCACAAGCGGAGGAACAUGUGGUUUAAUUCGAUGAUACGCGAGGAACCUUACCCGGGUUUGAACGCACAGCGACGAGUCAGGAAACUGAUUUUCUAGCAAUAGCGAUGUGCGAGGUGCUGCAUGGUUGUCGUCAGCUCGUGCCGUGAGGUGUCGGCUUAAGUGCCAUAACGAGCGCAACCCUUGCCGUUAGUUACUAACAAGUAGUGUUGAGGACUCUAGCGGGACUGCCAGCGUAAGCUGUGAGGAAGGCGGGGAUGACGUCAAAUCAGCACGG